CAAGUACUUCCUCCGUUUCAAGUUACUCGUCGCAUAGAUGGAUGUAUCUAGAACUAAAAUACAUCUAGAUACAUCCAUACCCGCGACAACUAAUUCGGAACGGAGGGAGUAUACA
Triticum aestivum (bread wheat) is the source of this 115-nucleotide non-coding RNA. Lineage: Eukaryota; Viridiplantae; Streptophyta; Magnoliopsida; Poales; Poaceae. The record is from Rfam.